UACAGAGGUCUCAAGCGUUGUUCGGAUUCAUUGGGCGUAAAGGGUGCGUAGGCGGCGCGGUAAGUCGGGUGUGAAAUCUCGGAGCUUAACUCCGAAACUGCAUUCGAUACUGCCGUGCUUGAGGACUGGAGAGGAGACUGGAAUUUACGGUGUAGCGGUGAAAUGCGUAGAGAUCAUGAGGAAGACCAGUGGCGAAGGCGGGUCUCUGGACAGUUCCUGACACUGAGGCACGAAGGCCAGGGGAGCAAACGGG
This 253-nucleotide ribosomal RNA is filed under the name uncultured bacterium. Its description in RNAcentral is "partial 16S ribosomal RNA". It matches the Rfam family "Bacterial small subunit ribosomal RNA", at positions 524 to 776 of the family's 1533-position model. The record is from RNAcentral.